GACCGUUGGAUCGAACUCAAACUUACGUAGUUGUACCUUUGUGUUUCUAGGAUCGUUUAGGAUUCGACCGAUCGUUGAUCGGAGUCCCGGAUACUUCGAAAUUCCAAACCCUAGGUCAUGCUAUGCUUUUAAUUAAUUAGUUUAAAUUCUUAAUGAAAUUAUAUGUGCAGAUGUAAGAUUUGAUUAGACGUGGUAGGUCGAUGAUGACUGCACCGAGUUCGGAUCCCCC
Molecule: long non-coding RNA, 229 nt
Filed under: Prunus persica (peach)
Lineage: Eukaryota; Viridiplantae; Streptophyta; Magnoliopsida; Rosales; Rosaceae
Description: long non-coding RNA (PPER_LNC000683)
Source: RNAcentral